This is a long non-coding RNA of Sapajus apella (tufted capuchin), 3165 nucleotides long. RefSeq lists it as uncharacterized. The transcript has 2 exons. The record is from RefSeq and is a predicted model, not a curated record. NCBI's taxonomy places the organism in Eukaryota, Metazoa, Chordata, Mammalia, Primates, Cebidae.
AUUAUUUUUAUGUGAACAUAAGAAUUAAAUGUUUUAAACUGAAUUAUAAGAUUGUUGUAAAAAAAGAGAGAGCAGCAUUGUAAUGGCUGUAUAGUGUUCAACUGAGUGAAUAUGUUAUUUUCCUCUGCUAGUGGUUUUAUAGAUUGAAUCAAAUUUUGAAUACUUACAAGUAAUUCAUAAUUUUUUCUCCAAAUUUUAGAUUAUUUGAAUUUCUUCAUCAAACAAGUCUCAGAUGGGCAUUUAUAACAAAGUACACAAAAAAGGGGUAUAUCACACCUACGUAACCACUACGGUUCAAUUUACAAGUUAUAUUGUUGAAAAGAUUAUAGAUAGGUCUUGUGGUACCAGCUACCUGAAAAGUUGUGGCAGGUGGAUCACUUGAACCCAGAAGUUUGAGGCUAUAGUGAGUUAUGAUUAUGCCACUGCACUCCAGCCUGGCCAACAGAGUGAGACUCAUCUCUCAAAAAAAUAUUAUAGCAUGUUCUUAAGAAAGUACAUAAUCAAAAAACAGGUACACACUCUCCUUUCAACCUAUUCUUAUAGUCAAUUAUUAUAAGUGCAAAAAGUUACUUAAUUUUAUGAGAUUUAUAAGUUCUUUCUCAUAAGGGCAAAAUAUCAGACUCAUAAGCACCUAGAACAGUGCCUGCCAUUGAGUAGUUGGUGAAAAUUUAUUAGAUGAAUAAACUUAACUGAUUAAGAUAUCUUUUGCUCAUUUCAUUCUGGUCUUGCUAUAGAAUGCAUUGAGAGAGUGGAGGGAAAAUAGUGGAAAUGGAAUCCAUGACCAUUUUGUGGCUACCCUUCAGCAAUGUGUUUGCUUGUCAAAGCAAUAAGUAAUAGAAAUAUUUAAAAUUUUAGCUUUUUAAUACUUGAGUGAAAUUCAGCGAGCAUUUAUCUAAUUGACAACAUACUCAACUUACAGAGGAGAAAACAACCAGGGAGCUAAUUAUAGCCUCAGACUGACACAGAAAAGACCUAGAAGUAUGGCCCGGGGCUUCCUCAUUCUGCAUUACAUAUUGCCAUGCUUGCAAUGGAACACACAUAUUUUAAUAAAGUCAGUCUCCAAAACCCAUAAUUUUCCUACUUUAUUGAACAAAUGUAGAAUUUUACUUUAAUGAAAACAUGUAUCUAAUUGAAGGUUGAAAUUCAGCCAAGUUUUUCAUUGUUAAUAAUUAGCAGCAGAGUUUGUGGGCGUUGGAUUGGGUGUUUUCCCUCAUUUUGUUGGCACAGUUAUUACUAGGGUUUUUCUUGGGCUGACAUGUUUUAUUAACAUCAGCAGAGCACUCAAGAUUUUCACAGUCAUUCAUGGAACCACUAGAUUCUAGACACUGAGAUUAGUUGUUUAGGCUUUAGAAGUUAAAUAUUAAGAAAGGACGUUUCAAGAGAAAGGAGUGGCAAGGGAAACAAGUUUUCAGCAAAGAAAAACAUGAGUAAUUGAUCUGCACAGCAACAUUAUGGGUGAGAACAUCAUUGUUCGUAUUUAUAUUCAGUAUUUCUGUUUGUAGGAUGCUGUUCUUGAGUAUGAGGGCAGCUGAAUAGAAUAAUUUGAGACCUGUAGUCGUUUCUUUAUCAGUUGGUAUAACAGAAUAUUUAUGUCAAUGAAAAUAGAAAGGAGAGGAAAGAAAUUGAGAGCAGAAAUCCAGAGGAGAAGUACAUUAAAUUCAAGCAGAGAUGAAGAAUGAGGACUUUGAUUUGUGUUGUAAUUCCAUUCCUCCUGUAUCCAUAGCCAUGGUUAGACAGGAAUUUAAUAGCAGGUUACAAGGACUGGUGGCAAGAUCAUGGGCGUGAGAACUUUGGAAACUUAGAUUGUCAUUCCAGGUCUACUGCUGUGUGACCUCAGCCAAAUAAAUUCACUGUGAAGACUUCAGACUGCUCUGAAGUCAUCUUGAAAGUAAGAAGCUGAUACUAGGUUAAUAGGUCUCUUCUUCUAUAACCUGGUAUACAAAUGACUUCCCAGAACUCAGGGUCAAAGACAUAUUCAGGGUCAUUUAGGAAAUAAAGAAUGUCCUGACCAAUUGCUGAUGUCUAUGAAAAGCAGCAUGAUUAGUGACUGUUCUUAGGUAAUAUGAUUCUUUGACUACAAAGAUUUCUAUGUCGGACUCUAUGGUAAAACCAAGAAUAUUCAGUUAAAGAUGUUCAUUUUUUUUUUCAAUUGGUAAUGAGUUCAAAUUACUUUUGUGAUUUUUAAAUGAUACAUGAAAUACAUAUAAUGUUGAUUGAGGAGGCAUGUGGAGAUAAUUGGACUCAAUCUUAAGAAAUGUGUAAAUUAAAAGAUCAAAAUGGGCAAAAUUAUACAAAGCAAGCAUUUCUAUUCACUGAUCAUAUCAUUGUGUUGAGACAUUUAAUCAGUAUCUGAAAAUCUCCAGAAGAUACAAAAUGGUGCACAUAAUCUUCUGACUGUUAGGGAAGAUUUUCAUGGGAAUGACUUAGUUCAACAUAUUUCUAAGUCAAUGAUUUUCUCUCACCUUGACCUGUGAGCCUAUGAUUAGUAAUUCAUGAUGUCAGUGUCAUGAGUAAUACUAACAAAGAGCACCUAAUGAGUUUGCUCUAUGCCAGAACCCAUUCAAAAGUGGUUUCUACAACUCAGUUAAUUUCUCACACAAACUUGAUAAGUAGGUAUUAUUAUUAUUAUUAUCCUUAUCUUACAUAUUAGUAGACUGAAGAUCAGAGAAGUCAUACAACUUACUCAAGGUCACAUUGCAUGUAGGCAGUGGACGUCUUACCCAGGAUAUUUCUCUACUGCUGAUAGUGACAGAAAUUACCAUUUGGAGGUUCUCUUCCAUAACACAGGCUCUGGCAGAAGCAGCCCACAAAUGGCUUUUUUCAUGGCUGUUUUACCCAGGGGAUAACUGAGGCUUAGGGUGCCUAAGUAAUGAGUCCACUAUCACCCAACCAAUAAGUCUUAUGGCUGGUAAUCUCCAGUUCCAAAAACCAAGGUGGAUUCAUUACUUAAUGCAACUUUGGAUGUCCCUUUUGUUAAAGUAAUAUGCCUAUUGAAAUAUGAAUCCAAUUUAUUACUUGGGUUUAGAGAAAUGGCGGAUUGCAGGAAGUCUGAACAUGCAUCUUGAGAAAUCAUGUGCCAAAGUCCUGCAGAAAGUCUGCACAGUGUGCAGGUCAAAGCUCAAAUUUACUUACUUAGAGAGACAUGUGAGGGUCACCCUGCUUUUU